GCUCUCUUAGUAUAAUUAGUACAAUUGACUUCCAAUCAGUAGGCUUUAGCUCUAAUCUAAAAGAGAACA
Molecule: transfer RNA, 69 nt
Filed under: Gerbilliscus leucogaster (Bushveld gerbil)
Lineage: Eukaryota; Metazoa; Chordata; Mammalia; Rodentia; Muridae
Description: tRNA-Gly
Rfam family: tRNA
About the family: Transfer RNA (tRNA) molecules are approximately 80 nucleotides in length. Their secondary structure includes four short double-helical elements and three loops (D, anti-codon, and T loops).
Source: RNAcentral